Molecule: ribosomal RNA, 253 nt
Filed under: uncultured bacterium
Lineage: Bacteria
Description: partial 16S ribosomal RNA
Rfam family: Bacterial small subunit ribosomal RNA
Source: RNAcentral
UACGUAGGUGGCAAGCGUUGUCCGGAUUUAUUGGGUUUAAAGGGUGCGUAGGCGGUCCUAUAAGUCAGUGCUGAAAUAUCCCGGCUUAACCGGGAGGGUGGCAUUGAUACUGCAGGACUUGAGUAAAGUUGAGGUUGGCGGAAUUGACGGUGUAGCGGUGAAAUGCUUAGAUAUCGUCAAGAACACCGAUAGUGUAGACAGCUAACUAAGCUUUAACUGACGCUGAGGCACGAAAGUGUGGGGAUCAAACAGG